Molecule: non-coding RNA, 29 nt
Filed under: Rattus norvegicus (Norway rat)
Lineage: Eukaryota; Metazoa; Chordata; Mammalia; Rodentia; Muridae
Source: RNAcentral
UGGUAUGAGGUCUUCUAUGAAGGUCUGAU